This 873-nucleotide long non-coding RNA is filed under the name Trifolium pratense (red clover). Its description in RNAcentral is "long non-coding RNA (TPRA_LNC003883)". The record is from RNAcentral. Lineage: Eukaryota; Viridiplantae; Streptophyta; Magnoliopsida; Fabales; Fabaceae.
UUUAGUAGGUCUCUACAAAUAGUAAUAUCAUUAUGAACUAUGGUAGUGAAAGUCUACAAGGCACGUGUUGCUCAAAUUAUACCAAUCUAACACUAUUUUUAUCAAUUUAAACUAACUUAGCACCCAAAGGUUAGUUUCAUUGUGCAUAAAUCACACCUAAAAAAAAAUAAAAUCGAGCUACUAAAUUAAGGACUAACAAUUUACUUUUCUUAACAACUAAAUUAAUGUCAAUCAUUUUCCACAACUAACGUCUCUUCUCAGCCGAAUUACUAACUCAAUUCUAACCUUCUGAAUUGCAUCCAAUUCAUAUAGUAGAACUUGAUAAAAAAAGAAACAAAGAGAAGAAAAAUCAAUUAGCAAAGGAUUCGCCAUACCACAAAGGAAUUCGAAGGUCGGAUUGAUUUCUUCCAUAACCAAACAGCCCACGAUACUGUCACAGUUGUUGACAGAUGCAGCGUUGCUUGCUUAGUAGAAAGUUGCCCGUCUUUGGAAUUACACCAUAUCAUUCGAUCUGGAAGUGCAGCAACCGGUAAAAUGACACGCUGUAUUUGCUGCACGACAGAUGAAUCAAUUUCCUGAAUGCAGUCUGGUAUGCGUCAUGCACCGUUAUGUAUAUAUGAAGCGGACGGAGCUGUUAGGCGCGGCCAGAGUUGCUGUGGCAGCUGCAGUCGCUCGGUAAGAGAAGUUCCCAGCCAAUUAUCGGUCCAGAAGCGAGCUCUUUCACCCGUUCGAAUGAGCCAUCGUGAGUUUUACUGAACUGUAUUAAAGUACAGUUUCAGCCCCGCCCAGAUUGCAGAGGAAAAAUACCUAGCAAAUGGUAUACCAUCACGUAGAUAACACGCACAACAUAACACGGCCCAUUCAGAAUCNNNN